CGCUGUGUUGUUAGAAGUGGACCUCUAAAGCUGUGGACUGCGGAAUACUGAGAGAGAGAGAGGGGAGCGAAGCCAGACCGGCCUGGCCCAACGCCACCCCGACUCUCCUCCAGGCUGCCAUUUUGGCUCUGCUGUGGUCGAGCCCGCAAAUCAAACCUGCAAUAUACUGGGGAACACAUCCAUUUAUGAAAAUAACCACUACAUUUGAAAAGUACCAGAUAAAACAAGCUUCCCCUUUUUUUUUUGUUUUUUUUUUUGCAUGUGCUGGCCUUACAAUCCAUUUCUGGAUCCUGGAUCGCCUUCUGUUUUUAUCCCCCCUUCUUUUCCCCUGGACAGAAAAUCCAAAAAUGUUUUAGUUUAAAACCAGAAACAGGCAGCCAAGAAAACAAAAGAAAUAUAAAUAAUCUCUGAGGCAGGUCUGUUACAAAUAGGUUGCUUUUUAUUGAACUGGAAUACAUAGUCUCCUGUACAGCGAGGGAGCUUAAGAGUCCUACAUGCAGCUCACGAGAAGAUUACACAUGCACAAAGAAUUACAUGACCAGAACAGAGAGGUGGACCGCACUAGCGGCCCUCUAUUGCUGAUAUACAGAGAAGCACAAAGCAACAAUGCUUGCCAAUUUGCCAUAGCCCACCCCUAUGGAGAGGGUGGUAGGGAGUAUGCAUUUUACAAACACUGCUUUAUUAAAAAAAUACAACCCAAAUACCAAUGUCAAACUCCCUUAUGUGAUUGGACAGGCCCACAUUUUUUUGUGUGCGUCUGGUAUACUUGGGUAAGAUAUGCCUGUGUGUGUGUGUGUGUGUGUGUGUGUGUGCACGUGCGUGUCUGUGUGUCUGUGUGUGUUUAUGGCACAGGCGGUGUCAUUUUUAAAUGAGAGUUCAUGCUAAAGUGUUUUGUUCUUUCCAUGCUUUGUAGUGUGUGGAUGUAGGGACAUACACACAUGCAUGUGUGACACCUGGAGUGUGUGUGUGUGUUUGUUUGUGUGUGUGUUUGUGUGUUAAGGCCUGAACAUCACUUUCUUUGGCAGCGCUCUUUUACACAGGACACUGUGAGCAAACCCUGAUUUCACUAACAAAGGGAUGGUUGGGCUGGGGACAGCCAGAGGGAGCGGGAAGUCUGAGUGGCUCCUGAACCGGGGCGAGUCUCCCCAAAGCACCGGCGUUUGACCACAGUAACUUAAGAGACAGUCUGUAUAAAAUGAUAGAGACUACUGUUUAAUGAUGGCCGUUGCACGAUGGUGCUUUCAGGAGACGCACCUCAGAACAGAUGAUGAGAGUCAAUACUAAGCAGGCAACUUCCAAUCACAUAGAUCAAUCAGUUGAUCAAUCAAUCACCCCAUCGAUCAUAUUCUCAUUCAGGCCUCUCACACACUCUACCUGGUCUGGGAACCCAAACACACCCGUAGGGUUUGAAAGAUCCCGUGCAUUCAAGAAUUACUCUCCAGGAGUGUAUUAAAGAGAAAGAAUGACAAAAAAAAUACAAUCUUAACAUUAAAAAGGGAAACAAAAUGCCAAAUAGCUCAAAGUAGGCCCACUUUACAAAAUUACAUGAUUUUUUUAAAUAAAACUUCUCCAGCACAGGUUCCAAAAUAAGACAUCUUUUUCGCUUUAAAAAACAUACAUCGUCAGAAAACGAUGGAUAAGUUGACUAAAUGAAAGACAAAAUCAAAUAUUUACCCUUUAUUCCAACACAACUGAACAUACCUGUUAAAACUGUAAACUGGAUAUCUUCUGGAAUGAUUUUGGCACAAAUAUUAGAAGGUCGAAGCACGGGACAGAUCAAAGCUCCGUGCUUUAAGAAAUGAUGACAAUUAGAAAAGAAAAAAAAAAAUUAGCACUUUUGUCGUCUGUACAAACUUAACAAAUCUGCAACUCCUCUCAAGGAGUCGUCCUGCAAUUGCUCCAAGCAAUUUAACUAAUUUCAUUUUGGCCAGUGCAAAAGAAAUACACAUACUAUAUACACACAUAUCUCAGAAGGCCAUACAUUCAGUAAAUAGGAAAAAAGUGUAAUAUACUUUUACACAAACAGAAAAGAAACGAGAGAUCGAGAGAGAGAAACAACAAACCCCUGUUAAGGAGAAAUAAAGGGGGCUUAAUUUUGAAUGGGAUUUAAGUGCUAGUUAAGUGCAGAUCAGUGACCCUGAGGUCCCCUGGCACUAUGCCCCUCCUUUCUUAAAGGGGCCAUUGAGGACACAUGCCAACUCAUCAUAUCAGGGUGUGAACGCCACGGGGCCUGUACAUUGCUAAGUAGCCUCCAUUCAGGAUUCAUUUUCUAAAAGGGGGGGUGUGUGUGUGUGUGUGUAUGUGUGUACGUGUGAGUGAAUGUAUGUGUGAAAGAGUGUGUGUUUGUGUGUUGGGUUGGCAGGUAAAUGUAGCAACGGAUCAAAUAACGAACAAACAACAACAACAACAACAACAACAACAAAAAGAGCUUGGAAUUCUAUCCCUGGCAAGUCGACUUAAAUAAAUGAGCUUAGAUAAACUCGGAUCGGAAAAAGUACUUGCACUUGCUUGAUAGCUGAAAUAGGUUCAGUAGAUUAUCAAGCUCAGCAGGCAACCAAAACUGCUUCACACUAAACACGGGGUCUCUACUCCACAUCAUUUGGUCAGCUCUUGCAGGUGGUGUUCUUGGAAACCACUCCUCUGAAAAUGUGCAGCCUAUAUAGCAGGAUAUAUUGGGGGGCAAGUAAGGUGAUGACAGGAUGAGUGCUAGGGGCUGGGGGGGGGGGGGGCAUACACAUGUGCGUGUAGGUGUGUUUGUGAGUGUGUGUAUUUAUUUGGGGGAGAGGGGUAAUAUACAGGUCCUUGCUGAAAGGGAAAACAGCCGUCUCACACGCGCACACGCACCCACAAACUUGACCUUUAAGGCACCCUUUUCAAGCCCUUCGCCUAAGAGGAAUCUCCAGCACAUAAAAACUACAGUUUCCGACAGCUGCACACUUCCUGGGAGCCCCCAGCCUCUCACUGCUUAAAGGGCUACCCCACCAUCUGAGGAGGAUGUAUCUAGCGUCGCGAACGGAAACGUGGCCCGGGGUCAACAAGGCAUGUCUGGGGACGGAGAUAGAGUGUGAGAGGCUUGCUGCCGUCCGUGUGUGUGCGUGUGUUUUCUCAGUCCCUUCUGUGCAGACGUGUCAGGCUCAGGAAGCUGCGCAUUAACUGCCAUUCAUUUAUAGCCACUGCACUUGGGCCCACUUGGCAGAUAGAGAGAGAGAGAGAAGGGAAGGGAAAGGAAGGGAGAGAAAAAGAAAGACAAACAGAAAAAAGGGAACCGGGAAAGAGAGAGAGAAAGAAGGAGAGCAAGCAAGUUCCAACAUGCAGAGGGCUGAUUCUGGCCAGUAGCACUGGCUGCUCGGUCCGGGUCAUUUCCGGCAGCCCUGUUUGGGGUUCGACGCGGCUGUCAAACUACCCCCCACCCCACCCCCCGCUAGGCCAGCCCAGGACGCGGCUGCCAAACUGCCCCCACUGCCUGGGAUGGACAUGCCUGCCAAACUGUCCAGCUUCCUCCUGUAUUUAUAACCCCAAAGAUCUCUCGGAAAAACAGGAUUGGCUCCAGCCUGAAACCUCUCAACUGCCAGCUGCCCGGGGGGGGGGGGGGGGGGGGGGAGUCAAACCCUGAUCGGAGUCUGGGUUGGGAUGGGCCGAAACCAUUGGAGAGACCAACACCGGUGGGUUUAGAAUGUUGUAGAAUAUUCCAUUGUUAAUGAACGCAUUCUUUGAUUAGAACUCCCCCUGCUGAAGGGUUAAGCAGCUAAGAGAAUUUGUUUAAUAAAAAAAACUUGUGGUCAUGGAGAUCAUGGAGCUCAGCAUGCAUUUGGGGGAGAAGAGGACAUUGGGGGGCGUUUGAGGGGGUCUUGGUAAGCGUGUGUGUGUCUGUGUGUGUCUUGAGUGAGGAGCGCUGAUGGAGAGUAGGAGUGGUGGUUCUAUCUCCUUGUGGUUCUCAGCUAAUUCAGUCAGAUGGUGGAAGGGCUGCACAUUUCUUGAUUGUGCACAGUUAGAGACUGGUGGACCUAACCCUCCCCAGCUGGACACAGUCUGUACGGGGUCAACUCCCAGAGCUGAAACAAGCUCAAAUAGACACUUCUAAAAACCUAACCUGGAACCUCUUUAAAGUGGUUCAGAGAUAUUGUCCAAUGAAAAGUGGAUCAAAGAAAACAUAAAAAGAGAUCAUCCCAUCAUCAUGUUCUCAUCUGAAGUUCCUGUUGCUACCCACCCCAUGUGACACCACUGUUCACUGUUCUGAGGACACACACAGGGGGGUAUAUUUAGCAACAGGUUGAUGGGAGACGGUCCAGUCUAAACUGCAAACACCGCAAGGAACUAAACUGGUACGCUGUGAGGAGCAGGAUGGACAUUUCUGAAAGAGGGAGUGUGCGCGCAUGCGUGUGAGUGUGUGUGUGUGCGUGUAGGUUACAAGUAAAGCAUGUGAAGGAUGAACAGAUCGAAAUACUGGAAGAAAAUCGUGAAAACUCAAGGAGCUGAAGUUACACUACGUGUGUGUGUGUGUGUGUGUGUGUGUGUGUGUGUGGAGGGAACAUGCGGUGGAUAGAGCAUGGCUACCUGCUUGACUGCUUACUUGGCUGACACCUGAUACGUUCCCCAGAUCUCUUAACACUUUUAACAAACUAAAAGGGCACCUAUGGCUGGGAUGAACUCUCUCUCACAGACAGACAGAGAGAGAGAGACAGACAGAGAGACAGACAGAGAGACAAACAGACAGACAGACACACACACCAUACCAUCAAUCUCUCUGAAUCGCAACACAAAAGUGAAAAUGGAAAACAUCUCUACAUACAUGGAAUAACAUCAGGUACAAAAUCAGGGUUUAAAAAAAAAAAGAGGAGUUGUUGACAGGUGGAGCUCAGGCUAAAAGAGUACAGAGAUGACCCCCCUCCCCAACACAUAUACACACACACAACCUUCUUGCAUGAAACACUUUAGAGAGGCCCGUCCGGAGCAACUCUGUUCAAGGCAGUGACCGGCCUGUCUGAUGCCAUAGUCACUGCUCAUUUUAAUUAACCUAUUGGCUGCAACUGAUCAUACUGUUAAGGAUCUUGCACUUUUGUCAAACCCAUGUCAAAUAUCAACAUCAUCAUCUCCACAUAAAAGGUGUCAUAGCCCUGUGACAGACCAAUGGACCUGCAUGGGAGGAUGAAAUACAACAAAGAGAUACAGAGGAAACAAAUAAAAAAUAAAAAACGUUAGAUACUUGUCGAUUCGCACUGCGAACCCAGUCACAUCUGCACUGACUCAGUCUCCACCCAAACUUGGACUUCCUUCCUGUGGCCCGCCACGCCCCCCUGUGGGGAUAAUGAGCCGUGGAUGGGGGAAAGUCCGCUCUCAGCCGUCUGUGCAAAGUUUUGCGAGAGAGAAAAACAAAAACAAACAAAUACAAAUCCAGUUCACAUCCUGCAGCAGCACCUAAGCACUCGUCACGGCCCGGAUUCCAGUCUCAGCUCUUUAGUCUUGGCACGGGCCGAGUGGAGCCACCCGUCCUCAAAGCAAGCUCUGAGACUGCAGCCCUGCAGACUCUGGACCGAAAUCUCCACCGGAUCUGGGCCGUAUCCAGACCAGACCCGAGCCCGACGCGCGCCAGAGUCUGCCACCGUCUGGUGAAGAGGGCCACGCUGUGGAGACAGCUCCACUGGCGGGUGAGGAGGAGAAGAGGUGGGUGUGCAGUUAGAGACCUGACGCCAACGCCACCUCCCCCCUUUCUGCAGAGAUUAGCUGGAGGGUGGUCUCCAACACGGAGCCAGUGGCUUCCAUCUUUUCUCUUUUGUUCCAUCUUUAAUAUCUCAGUAUUUGUCUCAGAUUUGGGGACAGAGAGACAGGAGAGGAGAGAGAAGCCAAUAGCGGACGUCUACAGCCAUUUAGAGAUGCAACCAAGGACUGAACUACAGAUCUCCUCCUCCCCCCCUCCCCCCCUCCCAUGGCAAAAGAAAAGAAAGAAACAGAGGAUGAGCAUGAAAACAUAGCUACAGACCGUGACCCUCGAACUGGAUUGACCGUGAAUAGGACACAUCGUGGGUGUGCGAUGGCGCAAAAACACCGUGCCCCUUCAGGGUUGCCACAUCAUGAUCCAUCUGCACGAUUACGGGAGAUCCAAGGUCUUUUCAGCUACGUCACCAACGCUGUGCCUGACUUUAGAGCCUAAUUAGAGAUCAUGGAAAUGCCAGCACUUUCCUUACCGUGGAAAUAUGACACUUUUAAUUUGUAUAAUAUGGUGACUUACCAAACGCGGCAAAGUGGCAAUUCUAAACGGCUGGUGAAAUUACAGGCAAACCUUUAAGUUUCGCCUGAGUUUCAUUUCAAACUGAGAUGUGUUGGGGUUUCUGGUUUUACGUGUCGACACGGUAAUUAAUGAGCGGGAAAACCCGGGCAUAUGGUUGCUUGCAUUGGCGACGGAUCUAGACUUGGCCCCCAGAUUGAGUUUUACUCAGGCCUGUCUGAAAACCUCUGUGCAUUUGGAGACGUGUUGAGGCAAAGGGACACCGCAGGGUCAAAUAAAAAAAAGAAAUGACCCCCAGGUGCCUAUCUGCCCCCUUAGGGUGUACAGCUAAACAAAACAAACCAAACUAGAAAGAGGAACUGGAUUAACGUGGGGUGUGACCCAAAUGAAUGAGACAUGAUUAAAACCAUAUGAAUUAGCCUGGAGUGUCCCUAAAAUGCUCCUAAUCCAUCUGAUGGCCUGGGAGGAUAAUCCACUGCUAGUGUCGGUGUCAGGAGUCCAUCACCAUCAAUCAGCUCUCACUUCAGGUGCAGUGUGAGGUCAACCAUGACCAUCAUCCUCGUGGCAGGGAUGGCCUCGUGGCACACACACACACACACACACACACACACACACACACACACACACAAACACACCUUUCCCACCCAUCACAUGUGAGGAGUCCCAUGUAUCUGUCCUCUUCAGGAAGCAGAGGGGCUGUGUAGAAGGGCCGUGCAAGUUGGCUGAUGUCCAUCUGUGGUAGUGUGGAACGGCCGGUGCAGGAGGAAGAUGGCGAGGAGGUGAGGGGGAGGAAGAGGUGCUGAAGCUGGUCAAACACUCACAAGACAGUUAAAGCAGGGGCUUGUGCCUCUAUGAAUAACUUAAUGCAGAGGGCGUGUGUGUGUUUUUCUUCUGUUUUUUUUUUCUUCUUUUUUCUUUUUCUUUUUUUUUGAAGAGAGCCACUGAUGUUUUCCAAAGGGUGCGCUUGAGGUUCACUCCCAGCAUAUGAGGGCCUGUUCUGAAAGAGACAGAUCUGAGAGAGAGAGAGAGAGAGAGAGAGAGAGAGAGAAAAAUAGAAAGAAAGACAGACAGAAGGGGAGAGAGACAGACAAAGAGUGAGCAAAACAGAGAUACGAUGGGACAAGGGAAGCAAGACAGGGAGAGUGAAAUAUAGAGACAGAGAGAGGGAAAGAGAGAGACGGGAAAAGAGAGGGGGAGAGAGGGAGAGAGAGCGAUAGUCAGAAACUUGCUCUGCGGU
Molecule: long non-coding RNA, 7460 nt
Organism: Clupea harengus (Atlantic herring)
Lineage: Eukaryota; Metazoa; Chordata; Actinopteri; Clupeiformes; Clupeidae
Source: Ensembl